Scylla paramamosain (green mud crab) is the source of this 1000-nucleotide long non-coding RNA. RefSeq lists it as uncharacterized. The transcript has 3 exons. NCBI's taxonomy places the organism in Eukaryota, Metazoa, Arthropoda, Malacostraca, Decapoda, Portunidae. The record is from RefSeq and is a predicted model, not a curated record.
AAAAAAAAAAAAAAACACGAGUGGAAAUGACCAGUGAUGAGACGUGAAGCAAAAAGAAUGAAAAAAGAAUAAAAAAAAAAUAAUGAAACAAGAGACAGUUGAUCCACCCAAAAAAAUAUCGAAACUAAACCAGCAAUAAAGACGGGGAAAAAAAAAAUGUAUGAGAAUGACCAGUGGUGAGAAGGAGAAAGAGAGAGAAAAAAAGCAGAAACAUGAGACAGUGGAUUAAAAAAAGAAUAACCUCAGGAGCAGGAGUAGGUCGAGGCAGCAGUAGCCGGGGCCUCGCGACAAGACGAGACAAGCACCUAAAGCAACUAUGGUCAGACCGGCCGAACGAGUCAAUGGAAUCCUCACCGACAGGACGUCACCGGUUCUCAAGGCAGACUUCUGUUGAGUAGAGUCGUAACACUGAACCCUGAAGAAAACAUGAUUUCACGGCGACGCCUCGACCCCUGCCAGCACCAGUAACAGGUAAGAGGUCAGAAUGGCGGACGUGACUCACUGUCUGAAUGUUCCGCCGAGACCCACCGCACCAGGGGAACCAUUGCGGCUCCGUGCGUGGCUGGCUGGCUGUCGCGUCUGGCGGGAAGGCUUCGUGCGCCCUUUCUAUUUGUUACUCUGAGGCAGGCCAGAUCACGGGACUGUAGAUGGAGAGAUGCAGGGUAAGGAAUUAUAGAUGAAGAGAUGAGAUGUGAUGUUUUGCUGUGGUGCUCUGGAAUAGAAGGGUAACAGGCUGGAAUGGAUUGUUGGGAAGAUUUCUCUCCUCCAGUAGAAUCAUUGAGAUUAUGUGAUUUUGCUUAUUGAUCUCCUUUAAGAGCUGCUUUAUGCAUAUCGUCUCUUUAUCCCGUUUAGCUCAUUCCCACAAAACUUGUCAUAAGAAUAUAGGAAAACAAGGUAAACUGCAAAAAACACAUCAGGCCUAAACGUGACAGUCCAUGUAUGAAGCAUGUCUGCCUAUGUCCACCUAUCAUCCUCAUCUGUUAUGCUAAUAAAGCGAUUA